UCCAGACUCCUACGGGAGGCAGCAGUGGGGGAUAUUGCACAAUGGGGGGAACCCUGAUGCAGCGACGCUGCGUGGGUGAAGAAGCGCCUCGGCGCGUAAAGCCCUGUCAGCAGGGAAGAAAAUGACGGUACCUGAAGAAGAAGCCCCGGCUAACUACGUGCCAGCAGCCGCGGUAAUACGUAGGGGGCAAGCGUUAUCCGGAUUUACUGGGUGUAAAGGGAGCGUAGACGGCCAUGCAAGCCAGGGGUGAAAGCCCGGGGCCCAACCCCGGGACUGCCCUUGGAACUGCAUGGCUGGAGUGCGGGAGGGGCAGGCGGAAUUCCUGGUGUAGCGGUGAAAUGCGUAGAUAUCAGGAGGAACACCGGCGGCGAAGGCGGCCUGCUGGACCGCGACUGACGUUGAGGCUCGAAAGCGUGGGGAGCGAACGGGAUUAGAUACCCGGGUAAAU
Molecule: ribosomal RNA, 448 nt
Filed under: uncultured bacterium
Lineage: Bacteria
Description: partial 16S ribosomal RNA
Rfam family: Bacterial small subunit ribosomal RNA
Source: RNAcentral